Molecule: ribosomal RNA, 857 nt
Filed under: uncultured bacterium
Lineage: Bacteria
Description: bacterial SSU rRNA
Rfam family: Bacterial small subunit ribosomal RNA
Source: RNAcentral
AGAGUUUGAUCAUGGCUCAGAUUGAACGCUGGCGGCAUGCUUUACACAUGCAAGUCGAACGGCAGCGGGGGCUUCGGCCCGCCGGCGAGUGGCGAACGGGUGAGCAAUGCGUCGGAACGUACCGAGUAAUGGGGGAUAACGCACCGAAAGGUGUGCUAAUACCGCAUACGCCCUGAGGGGGAAAGUGGGGGAUCGUAAGACCUCACGUUAUUCGAGCGGCCGACGUCUGAUUAGCUAGUUGGUGGGGUAAAGGCCUACCAAGGCGACGAUCAGUAGCGGGUCUGAGAGGAUGAUCCGCCACACUGGAACUGAGACACGGUCCAGACUCCUACGGGAGGCAGCAGUGGGGAAUUUUGGACAAUGGGCGCAAGCCUGAUCCAGCAAUGCCGCGUGCAGGAAGAAGGCCUUCGGGUUGUAAACUGCUUUUGUACGGAACGAAACGGCUGGGGUUAAUACCUCUGGCUAAUGACGGUACCGUAAGAAUAAGCACCGGCUAACUACGUGCCAGCAGCCGCGGUAAUACGUAGGGUGCAAGCGUUAAUCGGAAUUACUGGGCGUAAAGCGUGCGCAGGCGGUUUUGUAAGACAGAGGUGAAAUCCCCGGGCUCAACCUGGGAACUGCCUUUGUGACUGCAAGGCUGGAGUGCGGCAGAGGGGGAUGGAAUUCCGCGUGUAGCAGUGAAAUGCGUAGAUAUGCGGAGGAACACCAAUGGCGAAGGCAAUCCCCUGGGCCUGCACUGACGCUCAUGCACGAAAGCGUGGGGAGCAAACAGGAUUAGAUACCCUGGUAGUCCACGCCCUAAACGAUGUCAACUGGUUGUUGGGUAUUUACUUACUCAGUAACGAAGCUAACCGCGU